RNAcentral lists this ribosomal RNA (460 nucleotides) under uncultured bacterium. RNAcentral's name for it is "partial 16S ribosomal RNA". It matches the Rfam family "Bacterial small subunit ribosomal RNA", at positions 338 to 795 of the family's 1533-position model. The record is from RNAcentral.
CCUACGGGCGGCAGCAGUGAGGAAUAUUGGUCAAUGGACGCGAGUCUGAACCAGCCAUGCCGCGUGCAGGAAGACGGAUCUAUGAGUUGUAAACUUCUUUUGUACGAGGAUAAACUCCGGUACGCGUCUCUGUCUGCAAGUAUCGUACGAAUAAGGAUCGGCUAACUCCGUGCCAGCAGCCGCGGUAAUACGGAGGAUUCAAGCGUUAUCCGGCUUUAUUGGGUUUAAAGGGUGCGUAGGCGGUCGUAUAAGUUAGAGGUGAAAUCCCGAGGCUCAACUUAGGAAUUGCCGGUGAUACUGUUCGGAUAGAGAGUAGUUGAGGCAGGCGGAAUGUAUGGUGUAGCGGUGAAAUGCUUAGAGAUCAUACAGAACACCGAUUGCGAAGGCAGCUUACCAAGCUAUGUCUGACGUUGAGGCACGAAAGCGUGGGGAGCAAACAGGAUUAGAUACCCGAGUAGUC